This 393-nucleotide ribosomal RNA is filed under the name Salmonella enterica subsp. enterica serovar Montevideo. RNAcentral's name for it is "bacterial SSU rRNA". It matches the Rfam family "Bacterial small subunit ribosomal RNA", at positions 865 to 1258 of the family's 1533-position model. The record is from RNAcentral. Lineage: Bacteria; Pseudomonadati; Pseudomonadota; Gammaproteobacteria; Enterobacterales; Enterobacteriaceae.
UAGACCGCCUGGGGAGUACGGCCGCAAGGUUAAAACUCAAAUGAAUUGACGGGGGCCCGCACAAGCGGUGGAGCAUGUGGUUUAAUUCGAUGCAACGCGAAGAACCUUACCUGGUCUUGACAUCCACGGAACUUUCCAGAGAUGGAUUGGUGCCUUCGGGAACCGUGAGACAGGUGCUGCAUGGCUGUCGUCAGCUCGUGUUGUGAAAUGUUGGGUUAAGUCCCGCAACGAGCGCAACCCUUAUCCUUUGUUGCCAGCGGUCCGGCCGGGAACUCAAAGGAGACUGCCAGUGAUAAACUGGAGGAAGGUGGGGAUGACGUCAAGUCAUCAUGGCCCUUACGACCAGGGCUACACACGUGCUACAAUGGCGCAUACAAAGAGAAGCGACCUCGC